Molecule: ribosomal RNA, 541 nt
Filed under: uncultured bacterium
Lineage: Bacteria
Description: bacterial SSU rRNA
Rfam family: Bacterial small subunit ribosomal RNA
Source: RNAcentral
UAGAGUUUGAUCAUGAGUCAGAACGAACGCGGGCGGCGUGAUUAACACAUGCAAGUCGAACACGAAAGGGACUUGGAUCUAGUGUAGAGUGGCGCACGGGUGAACACUAGUAAAUAAUCUACCCCUGGGUGUGGAAUAACCAGUAGAAAGGGUGGAUUAUACCGGAUACAUUUCAUAAUUGCUAGAUUAUGGAGGAAAGGUGGCUUCUGACAUAAGAUAGUGCAUAGGGAUGAGUUUGCACCCAUUAGCUAGUAGGUGGGGUAAAGGCCUACCUAGGCGACGAUGGUUAGCGGGUCUGAGAGGAUGAUCCGCCACACUGGAACUGGAACACGGUCCAGACUCACGGGGAGGCAGCGUUGAGGAAUAUUGCGCAAUGGGGGCAACCCUGACGCAGCGACGCCGCGUGUUGAGGAAGGUUUUGGGUUGUAAAAGCCCUGUAGGAGGGGAAGAAGUGUGCCAGGGAUAAUACCUGGUGCAUUUGACGGUACCUCCAAAGGAAGCACCGGCUAACUCCGUGCCAGCAGCCGCGGUAAUAAUCGAA